This 610-nucleotide ribosomal RNA is filed under the name Salmonella enterica. RNAcentral's name for it is "partial 23S ribosomal RNA". It matches the Rfam family "Bacterial large subunit ribosomal RNA", at positions 830 to 1352 of the family's 2925-position model. Lineage: Bacteria; Pseudomonadati; Pseudomonadota; Gammaproteobacteria; Enterobacterales; Enterobacteriaceae. The record is from RNAcentral.
CAAUCAAACCGGGAGAUAGCUGGUUCUCCCCGAAAGCUAUUUAGGUAGCGCCUCGUGAAUUCAUCUCCGGGGGUAGAGCACUGUUUCGGCUAGGGGGCCAUCCCGGCUUACCAACCCGAUGCAAACUGCGAAUACCGGAGAAUGUUAUCACGGGAGACACACGGCGGGUGCUAACGUCCGUCGUGAAGAGGGAAACAACCCAGACCGCCAGCUAAGGUCCCAAAGUCAUGGUUAAGUGGGAAACGAUGUGGGAAGGCCCAGACAGCCAGGAUGUUGGCUUAGAAGCAGCCAUCAUUUAAAGAAAGCGUAAUAGCUCACUGGUCGAGUCGGCCUGCGCGGAAGAUGUAACGGGGCUAAACCAUGCACCGAAGCUGCGGCAGCGAACGUAUCACCCAAGACAACUUUACGGAGUUGACGAUUGACGGAGCGAAGCGACGUCAAAGCGUUCAUUAAAGUCGAGUUGGCUUAGGGAUACGUUCGUUGGGUAGGGGAGCGUUCUGUAAGCCUGUGAAGGUGUGUCGUGAGGCAUGCUGGAGGUAUCAGAAGUGCGAAUGCUGACAUAAGUAACGAUAAAGCGGGUGAAAAGCCCGCUCGCCGGAAGACCAAGGGU